AUACGUAGGGGGCGAGCGUUGUCCGGAAUGAUUGGGCGUAAAGGGCGCGUAGGCGGCGCGGUAAGUCUGGAGUGAAAGUCCUGCUUUCAAGGUGGGAAUUGCUUUGGAUACUGCCGCGCUUGAGUGCAGGAGAGGUUAUCGGAAUUCCCGGUGUAGCGGUGAAAUGCGUAGAGAUCGGGAGGAACACCAGUGGCGAAGGCGGGUGACUGGACGGCAACUGAAGCUGCGGCGCGAAAGUGUGGGGAGCAAACAGGCUUAGAUACCCUGGUAGUCCACACUGUAAACGAUGAAUUCUAGGUGUAAGAGGGAUCGACCCUUUUUGUGCCGGAGGCAAGACAAUAAGCAUUCCGCCUGGGGAGUACGGCAGCAAGGUUGAAACUCAAAGGAAUUCACGGGG
RNAcentral lists this ribosomal RNA (397 nucleotides) under uncultured bacterium. RNAcentral's name for it is "partial 16S ribosomal RNA". It matches the Rfam family "Bacterial small subunit ribosomal RNA", at positions 523 to 918 of the family's 1533-position model. The record is from RNAcentral.